Molecule: long non-coding RNA, 1324 nt
Filed under: Cairina moschata (Muscovy duck)
Lineage: Eukaryota; Metazoa; Chordata; Aves; Anseriformes; Anatidae
Description: domestica (muscovy Duck (domestic type)) lncRNA (ENSCMMG00000010222.1)
Source: RNAcentral
AUGAAACAACUAUAUUUACAUUUCCUCCGGGAGAGCCAACGCAGCACUGCACGGAGUUCUCCUAAAGCAACAGCAUGUACCAACCAGGAGCUCAGUUUCAAAGCAGCACCACUGGAGAGGAGGAAAAACACACGAUCGCCUAGGCAGGGUACUGGAAGCGCUGCCAUCAGCGCAAAGCCAACCUCGGGGUGGACUACAUUCAGCAGCAACACUGGUUAUAUAUGGAGAACAGAAAACAAGAAGACCCAAGCCCAAGAAAAAAAGCAGACAGAAGUCCUAACUCCUCUUCAUGCAAGAAGACAUCUUAAUGUAGGAGGGACUUUCUUCCUUCUUACUGCUUGGAGCUGAACCAAAGAGGAACAACUGAGGUAACUGAGCAGAACUGAGCAGUCAACUGUGCUCUAGAAAUGAGAGUUCCUCAUACAGGUAUUUACAUGAGCCACUGCAACUCAGACAGCAUCUGUCUACAGGUUGACAAAUCAGUCAUCUUUAUGCCUUCCUUAGAAGAAACCAUUGAUAUUUGUAACAUUGAAUCUAUUAUUCUGAAUAGAACAAGCACACUUUUAUGGACCUAAUGCUAUAGGAAACUAACUACUGCUUGAAUUACUUUCUGUAAUCCAGACAAGCUUUCAAAUAAAUUCAUUUUUGGGGGGAUUUUUCAUCUAAGUCUCUCUUCAUAUCCUUACCUUUGUCCUUGUUAGUGAGCCAUUCUGCUACAAGCUGGGUUUCUUUGGUCUUUCUAUGAGGCUGCAGACCAUGUGUAUGAGGUGUUGACAACACGUAGACAGGACUUCCAGUCUGAGUGUUGGCCAUUGUUUUACUACUUUUUGAAGACAACCAUAUACUCUAGGCCAAGUGCAUAGGGGAAAAUGCGUAUAAGAGAAAAAAGUUGUAAGAACUUUUUAAAAAGUGAAAGAGGGAGAAGCAUCUGUGUGAUUUAAAAUGCAAGCACUGCCAAACAGAAAACAUUCAAAGUCCUGGCAUUCAUUGAUUAAAUGUCAUUUUGCCACAUGUGCACUUGAAAACAGCUCUCCUAGCUGUCAAAAACCAGGUGACAUUGAUUCUGUUUCCCAAGUUCAGAAAAUGUGUCUCAAGUGAUUGAAUCCCUAGGAAGAAGAGUCAUGGAGAAAAUCCAAAACAGUAUUUUCUUUUCAUGUGGAUUUUACUGUUCAGGGAAUAUAGAUGCAAACUGAAUAUAAUCUUCAGUGAAGGGGAAUAAAUUAAUAAAAUACUAGAGUAAAUGUCUAAGCUUUUUUAUUCACUAGUGUUCUAGUUUCAUGCUUUUUAAAAUAACACUGAAAUUAAUGAAUAUAUGUGAUUUUAG